Molecule: transfer RNA, 73 nt
Filed under: Camelus bactrianus (Bactrian camel)
Lineage: Eukaryota; Metazoa; Chordata; Mammalia; Artiodactyla; Camelidae
Also listed under: 2 other names
Rfam family: tRNA
About the family: Transfer RNA (tRNA) molecules are approximately 80 nucleotides in length.
Source: Rfam by way of RNAcentral
GAGGGUAUAGCUCAGUGGUAGAGCACAUGAUUAACAAUGCAGGAGGUCAUGGGUUCAAUCCCCAGCGCCUCCA